GUGAGGAAUUUUGCGCAAUGGCCGCAAGGCUGACGCAGCAACGCCGCGUGGGUGAUGAAGGCCUUCGGGUCGUAAAGCCCUGUCAGGUGGGAAGAAAGGCCUGGAGAGGAAAGGUUUCAGGUUUGACGGUACCACCAGAGGAAGCACCGGCUAACUCCGUGCCAGCAGCCGCGGUAAUACGGAGGGUGCGAGCGUUAUUCGGAAUUACUGGGCGUAAAGCGCGUGUAGGCGGGGGGACAAGUCUGAUGUGAAAGCCCUGGGCUUAACCUGGGAAGGGCAUUGGAAACUGUUUUUCUUGAGUACUGGAGAGGAAGGGGGAAUUCCCGGUGUAGAGGUGAAAUUCGUAGAGAUCGGGAGGAAUACCAGUGGCGUAGGCGCCCUUCUGGACGGUAACUGACGCUGAGACGCGAAAGCGUGGGGAGCAAACAGGAUUAGAUACCCGGGUAGUCC
RNAcentral lists this ribosomal RNA (450 nucleotides) under uncultured bacterium. RNAcentral's name for it is "partial 16S ribosomal RNA". It matches the Rfam family "Bacterial small subunit ribosomal RNA", at positions 354 to 796 of the family's 1533-position model. The record is from RNAcentral.